Salmo salar (Atlantic salmon) is the source of this 1605-nucleotide long non-coding RNA. RefSeq lists it as uncharacterized. NCBI's taxonomy places the organism in Eukaryota, Metazoa, Chordata, Actinopteri, Salmoniformes, Salmonidae. The record is from RefSeq and is a predicted model, not a curated record.
UUGUACAACUGACAAGGUAUCGCCCUUUCCCUUAGAUGCACUGGGAUAUUACCAACAGGAACGUAAAUUGUCUUCUCAAGUUCUCAAGCUCAACUACUUUGCCUUUGUAAAAUACAUUUUCCUUCAAGUUAGUGGAGUUGCGAUGGCCUCCACCUUUGCCCCUAAUUAUUACAAAUUAUGUGGGCUAUUUUGAGCCAAAGUUUAUCGAGGAUGAGACCAGGAACCCUUCCUUUUCCAAGGUCCUCAAAUGGUUCAGGUGGAAUGUAUACAACAUUCACGGCAACAGCUGAAAUCUCCCUCGGGAGGUAGAAAGAUCUGCAUUUGACCACCAAGAGGAGUGAACAGUAGGUCGACACUACAUCAACUCCAAAGCGGUGGAAGAGGCAAACCACUACUUUGACCCCAUCUGCUCCUGCCCAUACAUACCAACAGCCUGGGAGGAUGGGACACCACAACUCAACAAACCCUGUAACUCUUCUGAAGACAAAUCUCAUAUACCCAAAUACUUCUCAGCAGCUGCCACCACAACAUAUAUUUUCUGCGAUUUACUUUCCAUUUCUGCGGUACAGUUGAUAACCAUUGCUAUGAGCGCUAAGAAGCCAACCUUACUGAAACAUAACUCAAUCGUUACCCUAUCCCUCUAUACCAGCACAAAUCUACUACUCACUGUGAUCCUCUCAGGAUCCCUCACCCUUAACCCAUCCUUCUCCACUUUUUUUCACUGCCCAAGACACUUUAACCAAAAAUGUCACUCGUACUUGUCCAGAUUAUUCCUCAACACACACUCAGCUCUUCUUCCUUGCUGUCCAUAACCAUGUCUAUCCGUUCACCACUCUAUUGCCCAGCUGCAUGGCUUGCAAAGCACACACUGAAGGCGUUUCUCCAAAACCCAACUUCUGUUCCUUAGCCGACUUUACAAGUCUGUCUAUCUCUGACUUCACCAUACAGGUGCCGUCUCUUUCCAAACCAAAGUUCCUAUGACAUGCACUGUCAAUUGUGGGACCUUAUAUAGACAGGUGUGUUUCUUUCUAAAUCAUGUCCAAACAAUUGAGUUGGCCACAAGUUUACUCCAAUCAAGCUAUAGAGAAGUCUCAGGGCGAAUCAAAGGAAAUUGGAUGCACCGGAGCUCAAUUUGGAGUAUCAUAGCAAAGGGGUGUGAAUAAAACAUUUUAAUCCAACUGCCACAUGUGCCGAAUACAAGUCUAGGACCAAAAGGCUGCCUAACAGCUUCUACCCCCAAGCCAUAAGACUGCUGAACAAUUAGUCAAAUGGCCACGGACUCUUUACAUUGCGCCCCCCCCCCCCCCCAUUUGUUUUGUACACUGCUGCUACUCGCUGUUUACUUUCUAUGCAUAGUCACUUCACCCCUCCUACAUGUACAAAUUACUUCAACUAACCUGUACCCCCACACACUGACUCGGUACUGGUACACCCUGUAUAUAGCCUCGUUAUUGUGUUAGUUAAAAUAUUUUCCCAAAACAUGAUAACUCUUCUUGAACGGCACUGUUGGUUAAGGGCUUGUAAGUAAGCAUUUCACUGUAAGGUUUACACUUGUUGUAUUUGGCGCAUGUGAAAAAUAAAGUUUGAUUUGAAUACUUAUGUAAA